UAACAACGAAUGGCGAGAAGUCAGCAGAGGUCAUAGUAGCUGAUUGGUUGCAAACAUCAGUGAAGGAC
RNAcentral lists this non-coding RNA (68 nucleotides) under bovine gut metagenome. The record is from RNAcentral.